GACGGGGGGGGCAAGUGUUCUUCGGAAUGACUGGGCGUAAAGGGCACGUGGGCGGUGAAUCGGGUUGAAAGUGAAAGUCGCCAAAAAAGUGGCGGAAUGCUCUCGAAACCAAUUCACUUGAGUGAGACAGAGGAGAGUGGAAUUUCGUGUGUAGGGGUGAAAUCCGUAGAUCUACGAAGGAACGCCAAAAGCGAAGGCAGCUCUCUGGGUCCCUACCGACGCUGGGGUGCGAAAGCAUGGGGAGCGAACAGG
Molecule: ribosomal RNA, 252 nt
Filed under: uncultured bacterium
Lineage: Bacteria
Description: partial 16S ribosomal RNA
Rfam family: Bacterial small subunit ribosomal RNA
Source: RNAcentral